This is a long non-coding RNA of Halichondria panicea, 2966 nucleotides long. RefSeq lists it as uncharacterized. The transcript has 6 exons. The record is from RefSeq and is a predicted model, not a curated record. NCBI's taxonomy places the organism in Eukaryota, Metazoa, Porifera, Demospongiae, Suberitida, Halichondriidae.
ACCCAGAAUGAAGAGUUUGAGCAUGCGCAGUAGCUUAAUGCCACAUGUUGACUAUUAAUUUUAGUGAAGAAAGAAAGUUUUAGGUAGUAGCUAGUACGACUAUACUCCUUGCUGGACCAAGAUCAGACAUAUAACUUUCUCUGUAUGGAUCUAUUUGCCCUUGAAGAUGUAUAUGCAGGGAACAAAUAGUCCUAUAUGCAGAGAAAAGAAAACACAAAGUCCAAGAAAGUUAUCACACAGGCCAAUUUUGCAGGUUACCUUGCCUUGUUUUCUGAAACAAAGUACCUGAUAGCUGCUCUGUAGGAGUAUGACCUACCAUCCUUUGGGAAGUUUCUGCUACAUCUGACAUCGACACAAGUGACACGCAACGAAUAGAGUCAGAGUCCACUUCUUCAUGUUCAUUCUCUUAUCAUGCUUUAAUCAUACUCAUGCAUUAGUUUAUAACAUUGUUGUCAAUGAAAUGUUCAUACUAUGUAUAAAAUGAUCAUAAUUAUAUAGAGCAAAGUGUAUACCUCGAUUUGAGGCCGGGGGGGAGAUUCGAAUGAAAACUAGAGGUUAGGGUUUAAAAGCCCAGUCCCCUUUGCGAAGGUACGGUAUAGUCUCGAGGCCAGACUCCUCCGGCACAUGUCAGAAGAUUAAGUGCAAGGGAGUGGUCUGGGACAUGUCAGAAGAUUAAGUGCAAGGGAGUGGUCUGGGGCCAGACUAGGUAAGGUACAGGCCUUUUCUAGUGAGAGGGGGAGGGGCUGGUGUUUUGGAAAUGAGUAAACCACCAGCCCCUCCCUCUCCCACUCCCCCUUGUACUACUUUUGCUAGCUAGACCUCGAGCUAGACAUCAUGCCACAUGGAUCAGAAACGAAAAUAAAGCAAGAAUGAAGAGAUAGCUAGGAUACUGAGUGCAGGCUUAAAGAGUCUAUCUUCCUGUGUGUUGUCAGAUGAGGUUGUGUGGUGAGUAGCUCUAUCACAAGUCUAGUCAGUGGAGGACCAGGAGAGGAACAUCCUAGAGAAUGCUGUAGGUUCAUACCAUAAGAUCGCGACACUUUUUAAUAAUUACGAAGCCAGAGGUUGCAUCUUUUGGAGGUUGAAAAAUUAUAUUGAAGCCCUGGUGUCGCAUAUUUAGAGGGUCGCAUCUAAUUGGAGGUAACUUUACAGAGUCUACUUGCCUCGAUUUCAGGCCGCUUAAAAACACUGAUUUUCCAGUGGGCUACAAUCGAGGCUAGGGAGUGGCUACAUUUACCUCUAUUUAGAACGCGACAUUAAAAAAUAAUUAUCAACGCAGCUGUCGCUACUUUUAGAGGUCAGAAAAUUGCUGAAGGUCGCAUAUUUGGAGGGUCGCCUUAAAUCGAGGUCUUACGGUAGUAUAAUUUUAUUAUCUAUAUAAAAAAAAAAUAUAAUUAUUAUGGCCGUUCAACAAUCCCUAUAAUUACUCUAUACAUUUUGUCCAUCUUGAGAGCAGUGAAAACUCAUCUAAAGACAUUUGUAUUUGAGGGCACUACUCUGAACCUGCGUCCAUCGUGCUUUGUCUGCAUCACCAUGAACCAUGAACCCAGGUUAUGCUGGCUGCUCUGAACUACCAGACAAUCUAAAGGUAACUAUCAGUACUUUCUAUUUAGCCUCUAUGCAUUUCAAUAUUUCUCUCUAUAAUGUGUUGUUUCGUACAGUGGCCAUGAUGGUGCCAGACUAUGCCAUGAUUGGAGAGAUCUCUCUCUACUGUUAUGGUUUUGUGGAUGCUCGUAAUCUGGCCAUCAAGAUUGUCAUGACCUAUGGACUGUGUUCAGAGCAACUCUCCAGCCAACUCCAUUCUGACUAUGGCAUGCGUGCAGUCCAGUCAGUGUUGGUGGCAGCCGGUUAUCUGAAACUGAAGUACCCUAAUGAACAUGAAGACGUGUUACUGCUCAGAUCCAUCAUGGACGUCAACCUACCCAAGGCAAGACCAAGGUCCUAGAGGUACAUGUACUAGCUGACACACUCACACUAAUCAAUGAGAGGUGACAGAUGGAAGAGAACAAGACAGGCUAUAGAGUCAUCAACCCCAAGGCUGUCACUAAGGCUCAACUGUUUGGUACCCUGUGUCACACGAGUGGACUGACGAUGUGGUAGCCAACACAUUCAGAUAGUGAGGAGGACCGGAGCUGAUACAAGAGAGCUUUUGUCUGGCAGGACAGACCCAACAGCUGCAGGCACGACUACAGCGUCUCUUGUCAGCUGAGCUGCUCUGGAGCGAGGGCUGUGAUGAGUGUAAGAGUGGCUACAGGAUGGAAGAGAACAUCUGCGUGGGUGAGUGGGCGUGUGCUUAUUCGACCAUGUUUCUCUAAUAGAACACUAUCAGUUGAUUGGUUGGUACUAGCUAACACUAUCAGGCAAUUCUCAUUGUUGCUAUGACAACAAUCCUUGUAUCAGCCCUACAUUGUUCCUUGGUCAAUUUAUCUAUUUUUUGUAUACUUGUUACCAUUGUACAGGAUUGCACACGUAUCUAACUCCCUGUUCUGCUUUAGCUAGUAAUUGCAGUAGUGUAUAGAAUAAGGCUGUUUGCUACAUGCAGUGUAUGGGCUAUUAUUCCGUUGCAUACCUCACAGAUACUAAUUCCCUGUUAGUCUAUAUACGCUAGGCUAUUCUAGUGCAUACCUCAGUAACACAUACUAAUGGAUACCACUGCCUACCUGUAGAUUCCAACAGAUGAUUAUUAUAAGCCGUGUCUACAUGUACAGUCAUGUAUGUACUGUUACGUAUGUUCAGACGUUCAUUAAUUAAUGGAUCCCCCCCCCCCACACACACACACACACACACACACACACACAGGAUGAUAUUCUGCCAACAGUGCACUUCACAAAGCACCCAGCUGCCCUCCUCAAAGAAGUUGGUCAGAGUCUGUGACAGCUGCUUCCUGGACUUGAACACACUUUGUUUUUGUAUAAUUAUACCUCAUUCAUUGUGUUGUCCUCAAAUGAUCAUUUGAUACAAUUAUUGAC